GAUGAACGCUGACAGAAUGCUUAACACAUGCAAGUCAACUUGAACUUCGGUUUGGGUGGCGGACGGGUGAGUAACGCGUAAAGAACUUGCCUCACAGAUAGGGACAACAUUUGGAAACGAAUGCUAAUACCUGAUAUUAUGAUUAUAUGGCAUCGUAUAAUUAUGAAAGCUAUAUGCGCUGUGAGAGAGCUUUGCGUCCCAUUAGCUAGUUGGAGAGGUAACGGCUCACCAAGGCGAUGAUGGGUAGCCGGCCUGAGAGGGUGAUCGGCCACAAGGGGACUGAGACACGGCCCUUACUCCUACGGGAGGCAGCAGUGGGAAAUAGUGGAAAAUGGACCAAGAGUCUGAUCCAGGAAUUCUGUGUGCACGAUGAAGUUUUUCGGAAUGAAAAGUGCUUUCAGUUGGGAAGAAAAAAAUGACGGUACCAACAGAAGAAGUGACGGCUAAAUACGUG
Molecule: ribosomal RNA, 454 nt
Filed under: uncultured bacterium
Lineage: Bacteria
Description: partial 16S ribosomal RNA
Rfam family: Bacterial small subunit ribosomal RNA
Source: RNAcentral